Molecule: transfer RNA, 77 nt
Filed under: Actinomycetota bacterium
Lineage: Bacteria; Bacillati; Actinomycetota
Description: Actinobacteria bacterium (freshwater metagenome) tRNA-Arg
Rfam family: tRNA
About the family: Transfer RNA (tRNA) molecules are approximately 80 nucleotides in length. Their secondary structure includes four short double-helical elements and three loops (D, anti-codon, and T loops).
Source: RNAcentral
GCCCCCGUAGCUCAGUUGGAUAGAGCAACGGACUUCUAAUCCGCAGGUCGCAGGUUCGACUCCUGCCGGGGGCGCCA